AAAGCGUGCGCAGGCGGUUAUGUAAGACAGAUGUGAAAUCCCCGGGCUCAACCUGGGAACUGCAUUUGUGACUGCAUGGCUAGAGUACGGUAGAGGGGGAUGGAAUUCCGCGUGUAGCAGUGAAAUGCGUAGAUAUGCGGAGGAACACCGAUGGCGAAGGCAAUCCCCUGGACCUGUACUGACGCUCAUGCACGAAAGCGUGGGGAGCAAACAGGAUUAGAUACCCUUGU
Molecule: ribosomal RNA, 230 nt
Filed under: uncultured bacterium
Lineage: Bacteria
Description: partial 16S ribosomal RNA
Rfam family: Bacterial small subunit ribosomal RNA
Source: RNAcentral